This 465-nucleotide ribosomal RNA is filed under the name uncultured Klebsiella sp. RNAcentral describes it as "bacterial SSU rRNA". It matches the Rfam family "Bacterial small subunit ribosomal RNA", at positions 338 to 795 of the family's 1533-position model. The record is from RNAcentral. Lineage: Bacteria; Pseudomonadati; Pseudomonadota; Gammaproteobacteria; Enterobacterales; Enterobacteriaceae.
CCUACGGGGGGCAGCAGUAGGGAAUAUUGCACAAUGGGCGCAAGCCUGAUGCAGCCAUGCCGCGUGUGUGAAGAAGGUCUUCGGGUUGUAAAGCACUUUCAGCGGGGAGGAAGGCGGUGAGGUUAAUAACCUCAUCGAUUGACGUUACCCGCAGAAGAAGCACCGGCUAACUCCGUGCCAGCAGCCGCGGUAAUACGGAGGGUGCAAGCGUUAAUCGGAAUUACUGGGCGUAAAGCGCACGCAGGCGGUCUGUCAAGUCGGAUGUGAAAUCCCCGGGCUCAACCUGGGAACUGCAUUCGAAACUGGCAGGCUAGAGUCUUGUAGAGGGGGGUAGAAUUCCAGGUGUAGCGGUGAAAUGCGUAGAGAUCUGGAGGAAUACCGGUGGCGAAGGCGGCCCCCUGGACAAAGACUGACGCUCAGGUGCGAAGGCGUGGGGAGCAAACAGGAUUAGAUACCCGAGUAGUC